CCCUUAGAUGUUCUGGGCUGCACGCGUGCUACACUGAAGCUAUCAACACGUUUUCCCUCCCUGAGAAGGGCGGGUAACCUUUUGAAUCAGCUUCGUGGUAGGGAUCGGGGCUUGCAAUUGUUCCCCGUGAACCAGGAAUUCCUAGUAGACGCGAGUCAUAAGCUCGCAUCGAUUAAGUCCCUGCCCUUUGUACACACCGCCCGUCGCUACUACCGAUUGAACGUUUUAGUGAGGCAUUUGGACCGACGCAUCUCAGUUUAACCGCUGGUUUGUGUUGGAAAGACUUCCAAACUUGAGCGUUUAGAGGAAGUGAAAGUCGUAACA
RNAcentral lists this ribosomal RNA (324 nucleotides) under uncultured eukaryote. RNAcentral describes it as "partial 18S ribosomal RNA". It matches the Rfam family "Eukaryotic small subunit ribosomal RNA", at positions 1470 to 1796 of the family's 1831-position model. The record is from RNAcentral.